AAGCCAUGACAAAAAUAAAUCUGUUAUUCAACUUCCUUGGUCCUUGAAGUCCACGUGGACAAAUGAUGCAUAUUUAAUCACUAGACAGUUUAUCUCUGGAAAAAUGAAAAUGUCCCUCAAAGUUCUCUAGCAGCAAAUUCUAACCUAGGAUCCCAGGCCUUCAUGCCUUCUCCCACACAGGUGCAAAUUUGAUUAUUUGAUAAGAGAAAAUAAUAAUGGCAUCAUCUUGAAGUGGAUUUCUUCAACAAAGAGAAGAUCUAAUUCAGUUCCAAUUGAUCAAUGAUGGACAUAAGCAGCUACACCCAAAGAAGGAACACUGGGAAAUGAGUGUGAACUGUUUGCAUUUUUGUUUUUCUUCUCAGAUUAUUUACCUUCUGAAUCCAAUUUUUCCUGUGCAACAAGAGAACUGUUCGGUUGUGUAUCUAGGAUAUACUAUAACAUAUUUAACAUGUAUAAGAUUGCUUGCCAUCUGGGGGAGGGGUGGAGGGAGGGAAGGGAAAAGUUGGAACAGAAGUCAGUGCAAGGGAUAAUGUUGUAAAAAUUACCCAGGCAUAUGUUCUAUCAACAAAAAGUUAUUUUAAAAAACGGCAUCAUUUUUUUGGUAGAACUUUGCCUUCAUCUUUCUGGCCAUCUCUCUAAAGCAAAAGUUCAGUUAAGUAUAUACAAGAUAGACAUGAGACUUGGAUAUCUUAAAGUAAUUCAUCAGUUUGCCAUUGUUUGUAUUCUUAUAAAUCUACAAGUAUUCAUUAAACACCUUCUAUGUACCAGAUACGUGCUGGGUGCUGGAGAUAUGAAUGGAGCAAUGCCUGUUUGCAAGAGAAUCAUAGAUGUGGAUCUGGAAGGGAUUUUAGAGGCUGUCUGGCCCAGCUCCCACAUUUUAAAUAAUGGGGAAACUGAGACCCACACAGAUUAAAUGACUUGACAGAUAGCCAAAUGUCAAAAAGUAGGUUUUGAACCAAGGUUCUUUAAGUUUGUAGCUGGUGCUCUUACAAAUGUGGUAAAAACAAAAACCAAAACCAAAAAAAACUAACAUUAAUUGUAAACCCAAAUGAUCAGGCAUAAAUGUAGGAUUCCCACAUGGAAAGGAAGGCAAUGAAGUCAAUAGGUAUUAUGAAAAUGGGACUGAUGUAGACUAUGGUACAGUGAAGUCAGGAGACAACAUGGAGAGGACAUGGAAAGGAGGACAGCAUUUUCAUCUGCACUGGGACAUAGUUGGGUUAAUAUGGAUUUUUUUUUUUGGUACUGGGGGAGAGGAAGGAAUAUGGAGAAGCAAGGAGAUGUUUUAGGAGUAAAGCUUUGCAAUGGGUUUGUGAGAAACUCUACUCCUCCUAGACUAAAAGCUGCUUCUAAUCACUUGAAUCACUCCCCUGAUUUUGAUUUUGCUUACCAUAAUGCUUUUCUCUCUAAAAUCUUCUGUGAAGCUAAAGGGAAAAGAAAGACAAAGGGAAGCAAGAAAGGAAAAAGGUGCAAUUGGAUUUGUCCAGGGAGCAGCACAGUUUGUAUUAGUACUGGUUCCAAUACAAAAUAGGAUACUGAAUAAUACAGUAAUGUUCAUCUAUGAAUUACUUUUGAGGCAGAUUUGCCUUAUCUUUUUCUUUUCCCUAUUUUAUGGCACUGCAUUCAUAAGUCUAUCUCUAGAUAGUCUAUCUCUAAUCAUUUUUCCUCAAAUCUAAUUAUAUUUCUCCAUCUUCCCACUGGAUAUCUUCCCUUGAAUUCCUGGUCAUCCACCUUCAAGUUAUCAUCUAAAGUUGAACUCAUCCAUUCCAAAUCAGUUUUUUCUCUUGAUACCCAUGUUUCUGUCAAAAGUAUCCUUUUGAUGACAGUAACCUAAAAUCAAAACUUAUCAUUUUUGAUUACUCCAAAAGUAGUUACUAUGGCCUAUUGCUUCUUCCUUUAUAAUGUAUCUCAUUCUUACCUCUUCCUUUCCAUUUCCAUAAUUACUAUCCUAGACAAGGUGUUCAUUAGCACAUCUUAAUUACUGAAGUAGUCUAAUACUUGAUCUCUUUCCUCCAGUCUCUCCAUUUUAUCAUUCCCUUAUUCAAAAUCUUCAGGAGUUCCCCAUUACUUGGAGGAUAAAACCAAAACUCUUUAGUUUAUCAUUCAAAGCACUUCACAAUAUGAACCUAACUUACUGCUUCAAUUUAUCUCCUACCAUUCUCCCCAAUACAUUCUUUAUUCCAGGCAGAAUCACCUUCCUUCUCCUCCCUUUAUCCUUGCCUCUGAAGAUUUCUUUGUUCUAGCAGUUGUUCCCCAUUGAAUUCUGUCCAUCUACACAAAGACUCAUCUACACUAAGACUCAAUGUCUUUUAGGCUUCAGGAAAAUAUGAAAAUUGCUUUCAGGUAUCUGAAGAGCUACCAGAAGGAAGAGAUGUUAAUUUUAAUUAGGCUGGCCUUAGAGAGCUAAUGAAUGGAAGUUGUACAGAGACAGCCUUAGAACAAUCAGAGCAGUCAAUAAAUAAAUAAAAACAAUUAGAGCUGCUCAUAAAUGAAAUGAAUUGUCUCCAAAUGUCAUAAGUGCUUCAUCACUGUAGGUCUUCGAGCAGAGGUUAAACCAUCACUUGUCAGGAGGGAUGCAGAAAGAUUUUAUUUCAAAUUGAAUUGGAAAACUUUUAAGGUCCCUCCCAAGUCUGAGUUCUCUAAUUCCUCUAUGCUAGCUUCCCUGAUCUAUCAAUCGCACUGGAACCUUUUCUUCUCAGAACCCCUAAUAUUUACUUAGAUGCAUUCAGAUAGCAUAGUGGAUAAAACAUUAGAUUUGGUGUCAGGAAGAACUGAGUUCAAAUCCUAACUCAGACACUUUUUUGCUAUGUGACCUUGAGUCUCUUAAUCAUUGUCUGCCUCAAUUUCCUCAUCUGUAAAAUGGAAAUAAUAAUAGUACCUGGCUUAUAGGGAGAUUGUGAGGAUCAAAAAAUAUUUGUAAAGCACUGUGCUAACUUUAAAGAGCUAUACAAAAGCCAGCUAUUGUUGUGAUUAUCAUUGCUACUACUGGAAACUUAGGCAUAACAUUUUAUAAUGUUUCUUAUAGUAUUGCCUUGAACACUGACAGUUAGUUAAUAAUUUAUAUGAAUACAUCUUAUAUUAUAUUAGAGCAUAAAUUAAUUGAGAAUAAGACAAAUAUACUAUCGGUCUUUGUAUCUUUAUGGUGUCUAAUCCAGUACUAUUGUCCAUUGUGAGUCCUUCAUAAAUACAUGUUAAAUGAAUGAUAAGAGACAAAAGCUAAUUCUGUUACUUAAUAACAACAGCUCUUAAAAAAAAAAAAGCUUGUGUAGAAAAGAUGUCAACACUAUUGUUCAACAGGUCCUUAUUUUUCAUUAUCUAUAGAUUUAAUUUCUCUGUUUUUCCUGUUUCCUAUUACCAUGAGUUAAAUGAGAAUGGAAUGCUUAUUUUGAAAGAAGAAUCGUAUGUGAAAUACCCUCAGUCUCAGAUUUUUAAAUCAGCAAGUCUCUAGAGAGGAAGAAAGCAGUUGGUUAAGAAAGACAAACUCUUGCCAACUCUAGGAAAAAAAUGUGGGGAGCUAGGGUGGGGGAGGGUGAUCAUGUAACCAAUCCAUGCUACUCUGAAUCAUUCUUCUCAUUUAGAUUUCCAUGGAUUCUGAAGGCAACCUAAGGUUACAUUUUCUGGGUAGGUCCUAGAAAUAUCUUGAUGAAUUAGUAUCUCCUUAAAUAAGCUUUGUGUGGGCUGGUGGGACUUUUUUCUUUUCUUUCUCUUUUUUUUUCUUUUUUUGGCUUUAAGUGAGCCAGCAGAGAUUUUCUUGCCAUUAUUAAGUGCCAAUGUAUUCCCAAAAGAAACUGGGCUGGGCAGAUGUCCUAUCUUGAAUGCUUUGAAAAACCAUAAUGCAUUAGGCACUUAGAAAAUGUUAUCUGAAUUAACAAACAAUAAACCAGCUUCUGGUGUGAAGCAAGGCCUUUAGCUGUGUCUGUUUUGUUUUUUCCUUUCUUCCCAACCUUGGAAUCAUUUCUUCCAAUGGAAUUGUCCUAGUUCAAUGACAGUUUGGCACAGUCCUCUCCCUAGAGACUAAAGAACUCUGGUAAAUUCAAAUCACAAUCACUUUGACUUCUCUUCUAAGGAAGUUGAAAGGCAAGCUCAAGUUAAGGAUGCUUUUCCCCAGGCUUUUGUCCUGCGUGACCCAUCAGCCUGAGUUCCUCUCUCCCUGAGCAGGAGAAAAGUAAUCCAAUGUUGAAAGAAUCCCUUGGAAUUCUAUUGAAGAAAUCCCGUAACAUCAUUCUUGCCUAUGGUGGCAAUGAAAGGUGCUAUAUCUAGUACUUGGGAACUCACAAAUGCUCACAAAUGCAAAAGUCUCAUGAAAGGGCACCAACAUAAGAAGAGGCUAUCAUGGAUAAGAGGGUAACGUUAAAGAAAGAAUCUUAAAGAACAUAGAAUCAUAGGAAGGUAAGCUAAAGAUUUUCUGUGUUAUAUCUUCAUAAAGCAAUAAGGACUUCCCUCUUGGUAAAAGAUGGGACCAUAGUAAGUCCUACACUCUUCCUUCCCCCAAUCUCUAAACUGUUUGCAGAUGGGUCUCAUUGCUUCAUUUCCAGAAUCAUAAGAUCAUAGAUCUAAUUGAAGCAGUAAUUGGGUCACAGAAGCAGUAAUUGGGAUAUGAACCAAGUCCCACUCCACUCCAG
Antechinus flavipes (yellow-footed antechinus) is the source of this 4619-nucleotide long non-coding RNA. RefSeq lists it as uncharacterized. The record is from RefSeq and is a predicted model, not a curated record. The transcript is spliced from 3 exons. NCBI's taxonomy places the organism in Eukaryota, Metazoa, Chordata, Mammalia, Dasyuromorphia, Dasyuridae.